AGUGAACGCUGGCGGUAUGCUUAACACAUGCAAGUCGAACGCGAAAGCUUCUUCGGAGGCAAGUAGAGUGGCGCACGGGUGAGUAACGCGUAGAUAAUCUACCUCCUAAUCUGGAACAACCUUUCGAAAGGAAGGCUAAAUACCGGAUAAGAUUUUAACUCUGGUGAGUUUAAAUUAAAAGAUUUAUCGUUAGGAGAUGAGUCUGCGUACCAUUAGCUAGUUGGUGGGGUAACGGCCUACCAAGGCGACGAUGGUUAGCGGGUCUGAGAGGAUGAUCCGCCACACUGGAACUGAGACACGGUCCAGACUCCUACGGGAGGCAGCAGUGAGGAAUUUUGCGCAAUGGGCGAAAGCCUGACGCAGCAAUACCGCGUGA
This 376-nucleotide ribosomal RNA is filed under the name uncultured delta proteobacterium. RNAcentral's name for it is "bacterial SSU rRNA". It matches the Rfam family "Bacterial small subunit ribosomal RNA", at positions 29 to 404 of the family's 1533-position model. The record is from RNAcentral. Lineage: Bacteria; Deltaproteobacteria.